RNAcentral lists this ribosomal RNA (497 nucleotides) under uncultured bacterium. Its description in RNAcentral is "partial 16S ribosomal RNA". It matches the Rfam family "Bacterial small subunit ribosomal RNA", at positions 28 to 507 of the family's 1533-position model. The record is from RNAcentral.
GAUGAACGCUGGCGGCGUGCCUAACACAUGCAAGUCGAACGGUCAGACGAUGAGCUUGCUCUUUUUCGGUUAGCGGCGGACGGGUGAGUAACACGUGCAUAACCUUCCUCUUUGUCUUGGAUAACCGCGUGAAAGUGUAUCUAAUACGGGAUCAUCUGCUCAACCUGAUGGAUCAGUGUAGAAAGGGGGUUGUGUCGGUAGUUGUAGGGCACGCCGCGUCGCAUUAGCUAGGUGGUAAGGUAACGGCCUACCAAGGCGACGAUGCGUAGCUGACCUGAGAGGGUGAUCGGCCACACUUGAACUGAGCCACGGUCCAGACUCCUACGGGAGGCAGCAGUGGGGAAUCUUCCACAAUGGGCGAAAGCCUGACCGAGCAACGCCGCGUGGGUGAUGAAGUGCUUCGGAUCGUAAAGCGCUGCUAUUGGGGAAGAAAAGCAGUCUUGGCAACUGUGGCUGUCUUGACGGUACCUAAACAAAAAGCCCCGGCUAACUACGUG